Small nucleolar RNA from Osmerus eperlanus (European smelt), 135 nucleotides. RefSeq annotates it as small nucleolar RNA SNORA9. The transcript has a single exon. The record is from RefSeq and is a predicted model, not a curated record. Lineage: Eukaryota; Metazoa; Chordata; Actinopteri; Osmeriformes; Osmeridae.
GUGCAGGCCUGUUCAGCGAGGCCGAGCCUGCAGUGGCUCUGGUCUUUCCUGUAGUGUCUGCUAGAGAGACCUGGGGCCGUUUGAGGCCCUGCUGUGUAUCUCCAUGGCAGGGUUAUAGGUAAACCCCAGACAGGU